Molecule: ribosomal RNA, 1335 nt
Filed under: Triticum aestivum (bread wheat)
Lineage: Eukaryota; Viridiplantae; Streptophyta; Magnoliopsida; Poales; Poaceae
Description: partial small subunit ribosomal RNA
Source: RNAcentral
AUGAUAGCAACAGCAGAGAUUAAACUAAUCAUGCGAACUAGCACAGUAGAUGAACAGAUCACAUCUAGGGCACAUACUAAAAACAUGAAUUCUACCACGAUCUCGAACAGGAAGGAUAGAAUCACAUACGAUGCAACGGGAGAAGGGACAGCAAGCCUCCGGAACCCCACCUCUCGUGAUCCUGUACGGGAGAGGGGCGAUCAGGUUUUUGGGGAGCGCACUCGCGCGACUGCUGGCAGCGACGACUUCGUGAACGAUGACUUCUUCCCCGACCUCGGCAACCUCAUCCUCGACGACAUGGGCGACAACGUCAACGCCAGUGAUGCUGCUCCCGCUGCACCGUAUGUGAUUCUAUCCUUCCUGUUCGAGAUCGUGGUAGAAUUCAUGUUUCUAGUAUGUGCCCUAGAUGUGAUUUGUUCAUCUACUGUGCUAGUUUGCAUGUUUAGUUUAAUCUCUGAUAUUGCUGUCAUGAAUUAUCUUUUGUUCAUUCCGAUUAAAUCUCGUAGCAAUUUGCUCAUAUUUCCAACAAUCCAAAAACCUGAUUAUAGGCAAUUUGGUUCGAGUGGUUUUGCUGCGCAUCUGAAACCGUCUGCCUUUAAGGGGGCGCAAUAUAAGAGGUGGCGCACGAGAGCAGUCUGCUGGUUUCAGACCAUGGGCUGCUAUGACGCCACCAAGGGCAAGCCUGGGGGCGAUCUUAAUCCAGCACAGCUGGAAACUUUUGAGAAGAUCGAUACUCUCUUUAAAGGCACCCUUCUGGGUGUUCUUGACGACUCCAUUGUGGAUUCGUAUAUGUCGUUUGACAACGGCAAGGACAUGUGGGCUGUGCUCGAGGCCAAGUUUGGUGCCUCGGACGCCGGCAGCGAGUUGUACGUCAUGGAGCAAUUCUAUGAGUACAAGAUGACUGAUGAGCGCUCUGUUGUACAGCACGCUCAUGAGAUACAGUCGCUCGCAAAAGAACUUGAGUACUUUAAGUGUGUGUUGCCGGACAAAUUUGUUGCCGGAGGCAUCAUUGCCAAGCUUUCACCUUCGUGGAACAAUUUUGCUACUUUUCUGAAACACAAGAGACAAGAGUUUUCCGUUGCGGGUCUCAUUGGUAAUCUUGAUGUUGAAGAGAAGGCAAGAGCAAAGGACACACGUGCUCGAGUUGCUGAGGGAGCUUCUAGUGCCCACAUGGUACAGAAGAAGAACUUCCAGCCCAACAAGUUCAAAAACAACAAGAACAAAACUCAGGGCAAAGGCAAGUUGAUACAAAGAACAAGCCAUCGCAUUCUACCAACUUCAAGCAGAAUUCUCACAAGAAGGGUCGGGGAAGGGACUUUGUCAUGUCUGCGGUGA